RNAcentral lists this ribosomal RNA (301 nucleotides) under uncultured bacterium. Its description in RNAcentral is "partial 16S ribosomal RNA". It matches the Rfam family "Bacterial small subunit ribosomal RNA", at positions 509 to 807 of the family's 1533-position model. The record is from RNAcentral.
CAGUAGCCACGGUAAAACGUAGGGUGCAAGCGUUAAUCGGAAUUACUGGGCGUAAAGCGUGCGCAGGCGGUUUGUUAAGACAGAUGUGAAAUCCCCGGGCUCAACCUGGGAACUGCAUUUGUGACUGGCAAGCUAGAGUGUGGCAGAGGGGGGUGGAAUUCCGCGUGUAGCAGUGAAAUGCGUAGAUAUGCGGAGGAACACCUAUGGCGAAGGCAGCUCGCUGGAACGUUACUGACGCUGAGACGCGAAAGCGUGGGGAGCAAACAGGAUUAGAUACCCCUGUAGUCCCUGUCUCUUAUAC